GACUAGUGACAGAGUGAGGGAGGGGGUGACUAGUGACAGGGAGGGGAGGGGGGACUAGUGACAGAGGGAGGGAUGGGGUGACUAGUGACAGUCACCACCUCCUUCACUGUGUCACCCCCUUCCUCACUCUGUCACUAGUCACCCCCUCUCUCACUUGUCACCCCCUCUCU
Non-coding RNA from Pelobates cultripes (western spadefoot toad), 170 nucleotides. Lineage: Eukaryota; Metazoa; Chordata; Amphibia; Anura; Pelobatidae. The record is from the annotation of a GenBank genome assembly.